UUAUUUUUUUUUUUUCAGAGAUUGUCUGAAACCUCCCUUUGGAGGGUUGAAAGUAAGUAAUUUUAGCUAUUUAGUAGGUUUCCAAAUCAAUUUAUUAUCUCCAUUGGCAUUUUCAUUAACAAAGACUAAGAGCACAACUUAAGUGAAAUUUAGAAACUUUUUUGCGUACUUAAAUGUUCUUUUUUUUUUCUUUAAAAUGCUAUCACUUGACAAUAAUUUUAGAGACUAAUUUGAACAUCUCGCAAUUACUCACAAAAUACAAUCAUAUCUCUUUUACACCUUUGUCCAAAAUUGUUAGUUUGCCAAAAUGGAUGCCAGUAAGAGCUAUGAAAUCCAUAUUGUGAUAUUGAAGAGUUAAUAUGGUUAGGCUACAUCCUCCCCAAAACGUAUAUGGUUUGGAAGCCACAUAUGCAUUGAAAGUUGGAGUUCAUGCCACAUCAGCUACUUUGGAAUAUAAUACAGCUCUUCUGUAUUGUUCGCAUCAUCAAGUUUUUGUAACUCUCAUUGAUUUAAAAAAAAAAUCGUUAUAAUUGUAAAAAGGUACCAAAGUUGAUAAUUGUCUUCUCCAUUAGGCCUUGUAUGAUACAUAUAUUAUCUUGGUAGCCUUUUUUUUAAUUAAAAAAUAAUAAAAGUCGAUGGCUAGCCUAAAUAGGAUUGCAAAUUAAGUCCCCACUCAAGUAAUUUUACAAGGAGGCAGAAAUAGUUAGGGUUUUUAAAAGAAAGGUCAAAAAAAAAGGGGAAAGAGAGAGAGAGAGA
This 756-nucleotide unclassified non-coding RNA is filed under the name Hevea brasiliensis (rubber tree). Lineage: Eukaryota; Viridiplantae; Streptophyta; Magnoliopsida; Malpighiales; Euphorbiaceae. The record is from RNAcentral.